Molecule: ribosomal RNA, 30 nt
Filed under: Readeriella eucalypti
Lineage: Eukaryota; Fungi; Ascomycota; Dothideomycetes; Mycosphaerellales; Mycosphaerellaceae
Also listed under: 5 other names
Description: partial 18S ribosomal RNA
Source: RNAcentral
CUCCGUAGGUGAACCUGCGGAGGGAUCAUU